UCGGAUAUCUUGUACUGUCCCGACAAGACCUUCUUUGAAGUGGUGUGCAUGGGAUAUCUUGUGUGUGCCGCUCAAUGGUUGUGACGGUUUUUUGCUCGGUUUUCUAGAAUUAACUGGGCAACAGGUUUUCGCUCGGUUUUUCCUAAUUAACCGAGCAAUUCUUUUCUUCUUAAUAAAUGCAGGAAUCCUGCCAUUUCGGAAAAAAAAACAUGCUUGUUUGAAAAAAAAAGCAUGCUUGCUUAGUAACGCUUCGACGGUCAUUUCACACUCUGCAUUAUGAAUAGGACUUCUGAAUAUUUUUUGAGAGCGAGUUCUGGAGUAUUUGUCUUCAAUAGAUCUUGUAUUGGCCGUGUAUUAGGCGGACCGAACUCUUGGAGAUGUGCCUGUCUCUCAGCAGCAUCAGCGCACUCUGUACUUCAGGACGUCCUUGGCAAAUUGGGAAUGUAUGCAUCGGAACAGCCGCACUUAUACCAAGAUUAAACUUUUCAACAAGUGCCUGCGGCCAUACAACAGUUUAUUCCUACUUUCUAUGUACAUAGAGUACUGCACAUGAGGUCGAUCACAUCUUUAUUGGAAGCACGAGGCACUUGAGACAUUCAGAAAAGAAGUCCAUAUAAACUAGUAGUCGACGGUAGCAGAGUUGGAGCUUCACUUGUGGUGCGCUUUGUUGGGCGGCUUCACGAUGAGAACGGGGCAGGAGGCGUGGUGGACGAGGUAGUCGCUCACGCUGCCCAGCAACGCCCUGCAACAUACCACGAGCACAUAGUCAGCCAUGCACUCUCCCGCCAAGGCGUGGCUUGAUGAUCAAUGGAGUUUUAUUACGCACAUGCUUACAGCAUGACUAUUGUCCGACUACUAAAGGUUGCUCUCAUAGUAAAGAAACAGUAAAACUCAAAAACUACUGUGUUCUUUUAGCCAUUGGAUUUUCCUUAGAUGCACUGUUCGAGGAGGCAGGUUGAGUAACUACUGCAUAUCUUUCAGCCAUGCAUUUCAAUAUGCUACAAGGAUAAAAAGGUAAUGCAUGAGGGGCUAGUGUUUUUUAAUGUUUUAUUAGUCUUUUAUUAUUAUUUAUUUUUAGAAACGGCAGAAGGGCUAGUCGCAAGGGAAAACGGGGAAGGAACAGGAGCAGAAAAGCCCAUGAUAUGACUCGGCAAGGCCUGCUACGGGCUCUCAGCUUGGGCCCAAACAAGCAGUGGGUUCGGGGUUCAGGUGGCUGGCAUUGCGGGAUAUCAGAAGAAAAGCCAGCAGGUUUAGUCCCACAUCGCGGACGGAGAAGCAUCGCAGAGGAAGGAUGGCUAUAAAAGGAGACCCAGCUCAACGCCACAACUCAUACCUUUCUCGGCCUUUUGGCUAAGAUCAAGUGUAGUAUCUGUUCUUAUCAGUUUAAUAUCUGAUAUGUGGACCAUGUGUCCACAACGAUAUUAAAUUUAUUUUUUGUGGGGGAGAGUCCACCACGGUAGCUUGCUGCCGGGGCUCUCAUGUGUCGCCCAGGCGUUGUACUAUUGCCUGGGCCUGGCGCACCCCAACCAAAUCAAAGCAUUAAAAUUUUGGAAUUGUGGGGAGUUAUGUAUAUAAUUUGCAAUGCAAGUUCCUUGAACAUUGAAGAAAGAGCUAAGCUGUGUAGUUCAGCGCACUGUUUGUAAACGGCAGUAAUCUUGAGGAUCUUAGGUUCUGCCAGUGAAGUAGUUAUUCUGCACUCAGAAAUUACAGUCUAAUAUCGAAAUAGGCUCACGCGUGGUAAUCUAAUUGGCACGUACUACGUACCUCUUGAUCAUGCCCAGGCCGCGGCUGCCGAGGACGAGGAGGUCGGCGUGCAUGUCCUCCACGGCGCGGCAGAUGGCCUCCUUGGCGUCGCCCUC
RNAcentral lists this long non-coding RNA (1859 nucleotides) under Triticum aestivum (bread wheat). Its description in RNAcentral is "long non-coding RNA (TAES_LNC009189)". The stretch from base 1330 to 1526 matches the Rfam family "U2 spliceosomal RNA". The record is from RNAcentral. Lineage: Eukaryota; Viridiplantae; Streptophyta; Magnoliopsida; Poales; Poaceae.